RNAcentral lists this small RNA (3335 nucleotides) under Pongo abelii (Sumatran orangutan). Its description in RNAcentral is "retained intron". Lineage: Eukaryota; Metazoa; Chordata; Mammalia; Primates; Hominidae. The record is from RNAcentral.
ACCCAGUGAGCGGCUAGGUUGCAGCAGGAGUUUGGGGGAUGGCCCCAGUCUCGGGAUCCCUGUCUUGGGCUGGGGACUGCCCCCCUCCCCUGGCCUGGCUCCUGACGCCCGUGCUGCCGGUGAAACGCUGUUGACAUGUCCUGAAUUAUUAAGCACGGGGUGGGCUCCGGAGCACAUGCUGAGCGGAGCGGCUGGGGCUGCGCGGCGUGGCGGAGCAGCGCUCGCUCCCUCGCUCGCUCGCUCGCAGGGACACACGCAGGGGCUGACAGCUGUGCUGGUGCUGAUAAGGGAAGCCACAAGGAGACGAUCGAGGAGAGAGACAAGCGGCAGCAGAGGCAGCAGCGGCAGAGGCAGCACCACGGCUGCGGAGCUGCUGGGAGUGGGAGUGACUCCCCCACCUCGGGCCCCCACUCCGUCCCUGUCCUCCUCCCGCUUGUCCUGAGUUUAGAAGAGCAGCCGCUGCCACCACCGCCACUCGAGAGGGCACUAGGGCUGCUGGCUAGGGAGGGACAGGGCAGGGAGGCUCUGGCCAGUCCCAGCAGCCGGGGACAGAUGCCGAUCGAGAUUGUGUGCAAAAUCAAAUUUGCUGAGGAGGAUGCGAAACCCAAGGAGAAGGAGGCAGGGGAUGAGCAGAGCCUCCUCGGGGCUGCUCCAGGGGCAGCAGCCCCCCGGGACCUGGCCACCUUUGCCAGCACCAGCACCCUACAUGGACUGGGCCGGGCCUGUGGCCCAGGCCCCCACGGACUGCGCAGAACCCUGUGGGCACUGGCCCUACUCACCUCGCUGGCUGCCUUCCUGUACCAGGCGGCUGGCCUGGCCCGGGGCUACCUGACCUGGCCUCACCUGGUGGCAAUGGACCCCGCUGCCCCAGCCCCAGUAGCGGGCUUCCCGGCUGUCACCCUCUGCAAUAUCAACCGCUUCCGGCAUUCGGCACUCAGCGAUGCCGACAUCUUCCACCUGGCCAAUCUGACAGGGCUGCCCCCCAAAGACCGGGAUGGGCACCGUGCCGCUGGCCUGCGCUACCCAGAGCCUGACAUGGUAGACAUCCUCAACCGCACUGGCCACCAGCUCGCCGACAUGCUCAAGAGCUGCAACUUCAGUGGGCAUCACUGCUCCGCCAGCAACUUCUCUGUGGUCUAUACUCGCUAUGGGAAGUGUUACACCUUCAACGCGGACCCGCGGAGCUCGCUGCCCAGCCGGGCAGGGGGCAUGGGCAGUGGCCUGGAGAUCAUGCUGGACAUCCAGCAGGAGGAGUACCUGCCCAUCUGGAGGGAGACAAAUGAGACGUCGUUUGAGGCAGGUAUUCGGGUGCAGAUCCACAGCCAGGAGGAGCCGCCCUACAUCCACCAGCUGGGGUUCGGGGUGUCCCCAGGCUUCCAGACCUUUGUGUCCUGCCAGGAACAGCGGGUGAGCACCUCCUGCCAGGCCCUGGAUGGGGCACAGGGCUUGCCUUUGGGCUGAGAGGGGAUGCGGAGCAAACCUGCCCUCUAGAAGCUCACAGCCUGCCAGCUGUGUUGACUUUGCUGGGGCUGUGGGCACUGGAGGACUGGGUGGGGUUCCUGAGCAUGACCUCAUCAUGCCCCACCUCUGCAGCUGACCUACCUGCCCCAGCCCUGGGGCAACUGCCGUGCAGAGAGUGAGCUCAGGGAGCCUGAGCUUCAGGGCUACUCGGCCUACAGUGUGUCUGCCUGCCGGCUGCGCUGUGAAAAGGAGGCCGUGCUUCAGCGCUGCCACUGCCGGAUGGUGCACAUGCCAGGUGGGCACCCCACCCCCAGCCAGCCCUCCAUGCCACCCUGCUAGGCUCCAGAGCCUCCCGGGGCAAGGCACUGCUCAUGUGCACAGGCAGGUGCAUGUAUACAACAUGUGUGUGUGUCUGUACCUGUGUGAGUGUGAGUAUUUGGGAUUUUUAAGCAUGGUUUCACAUAUGCAUGUGGGAAUGCCGGCAUGCAGAUGCCUGUGUGCAUGUUAAUAUGUAUUUGUGUACGUGCAUGCUCAUUUAUAUCCGUGGUUGCGUAUUUGUGGGGGUUGUGUGUGUGGUGUUCAAGCACAUUUAUGCAGAUGUGUGCAUAUAUGUGUGCAUGCAUGUAUGUGCUUACAUUUGGGCGUGUGGGGGACACGGGAAGUGAUCGUAGAUUCCAGGAAUAAUCUUCUCUCCUUUCAGGCAAUGAGACCAUCUGCCCACCAAAUAUCUACAUCGAGUGUGCCGACCACACACUGGGUCCGUGCUGCCUACCCUUUCCUACCUCUCCAUCAGCCUCUUCAUGUCUCUGUCCACUCUUCUCCUCACUGUCUUGGCUCCUCCCCUCCCAAUCUCUUCCUGGAGGGUUCUUCCUGGGGGUUGAGCCUUAGCCCAUACUUCAGUGGGGUCGGGGAGAGGUCUGCAGACCUCUGCAGGUACAGACACUUGGGUAAGUGGAGGCAGCAGGGUGGGGGGUUGCAGAGAAGCCAGGACUGGGAGUGAAGGUCUGGGCUUCUCAUCUUGGUUCAGCCAAUGAGCUCACCCACUUUGAGAAAGUGAAAUGACUUCUCUCUUGGUCUCAGGAAAAAUGCAUUGCUGGCUAUCGGUGUGGGUAAGGCAAACCCCAUCUGUCCACAGAUCUUGCCUGAUCUGCAGUUCAUCCAUCUAUCCAUCCAUUCAUCGAUUCGCGCAUUCUCCAGCCCUUUACAGCCUGUGCUGGGUACUGGAGGUGAGAGUGGGGGCGACAGCCCUGCCCUUGGAGAGCUUACACCCUGGCAGGGCUGUGGACACACAGCCCGUCAACUCCUGGAGGCGGGAGACUUGGGUGUGCGGCAAGGCCCCAAGGAGGGGUGUGCAGCCCUAGCCUGGGAAGGUAGGGGGGAUUCCUAGAGGAAGGGACACAUUAGCUGAGGCUUGAUGGGUGUAUCAGAGUCAGGUGCAAAGGGGGACAUACACUAAAAACCUGUGGCCAGAAAGAGCAUGCUGUGUCUGGGGCACUGAAAGAUCUGUGUGGCUGCAAGGCAGAGAACAGGGGAGGGAGUAGAAAGAGUGGAGGAGGGAGGCCAGGCACAGUGGCUCACAAGUGUAGACCCAGCACUUUGGGAGGCCAGGGUGUGCGGAUCACUUGAGCCCAGUAGUUCAAGACCAGCCUGGGCAAUAUGGUGAGACCAUGUCUCUGCAAAAAAUAAAAAAGUGAACUGGGUGUGGUGGUGCACAUCUAUAGUCCCACCUAUUCGGGAGGCUGAGGCAAGAGGAUAGGCUUGAGCCUGGGAGGUCGAGGCUGCGGUGAGCUGGGAUCACACCAUUGCACUCUAUCUAGUCUGAGCUAGAGUUAUCCUGUCUCAAAAAAAAAAAAAAAAAAAAAAAAAAAAAAAAA